RNAcentral lists this ribosomal RNA (776 nucleotides) under uncultured Neocallimastigales. Its description in RNAcentral is "partial large subunit ribosomal RNA". It matches the Rfam family "Eukaryotic large subunit ribosomal RNA", at positions 24 to 640 of the family's 3401-position model. Lineage: Eukaryota; Fungi; Neocallimastigomycota; Neocallimastigomycetes; Neocallimastigales. The record is from RNAcentral.
UAUGUGAUCGUCUCUCGCAUAUCAAUAAGCGGAGGAAAAGAAACUAACAAGGAUUCCCCUAGUAACGGCGAGUGAAGCGGGAAGAGCUCAAAUUUGAAAUCUUAAAGGGUUUCCCUUUACGAAUUGUAGUUUAAAGAAGUGUUUUCCUGUUGAGGUUUUGGUAAAAGUUCUUUGGAAUAGGACAUCAUAGAGGGUGAGAAUCCCGUAUUUGACCUUUACUUUCAACUUUGUGAUACACUUUCAAAGAGUCGGAUUGUUUGGGAAUGCAGUCCAAAAUGGGUGGUAAAUUUCAUCUAAAGCUAAAUAUUGGCGAGAGACCGAUAGCGAACAAGUACCGUGAGGGAAAGAUGAAAAGAACUUUGAAAAGAGAGUUAAACAGUACGUGAAAUUGUCAAAAGGGAAGCGUUUGACACCAGUGUUGUUUUUCUGAAGAUCAAUUAAAGAACUGUUUAUGCUAAGCUGUUUAGACUUUAUCAGCUAAUCUGUUUAGUUUUGAGCUUUUCUUUAAUGCACUUUUCAGUUAACAAGUCAACAUCAAUUUCUUUUGCUGUAAAAAAGCUUGAGGAAGGUGGCUUGAGAUUCGUCUUAAGUGUUUAUAGCCUCUUGCCUAUGCAGUCGGAGAGAUUGAGGUCUGCAGCGUAGAUCCUUCGGGGCUAAAUGCAUUUGUGCUAAGUUAUAGCAUUUUAUAGACAACUUGUUGACUAUGAUUUGUCUUGUAGCUUACUCGCUUAUGUUAUUUUACCUACGCUUAGGAUGUUGAUAUGCAUGACUGAUAU